GAUGAACGCUGGCGGCGUGCCUAAUACAUGCAAGUCGAGCGAACAGACGAGGAGCUUGCUCCUCUGACGUUAGCGGCGGACGGGUGAGUAACACGUGGAUAACCUACCUAUAAGACUGGGAUAACUUCGGGAAACCGGAGCUAAUACCGGAUAAUAUAUUGAACCGCAUGGUUCAAUAGUGAAAGACGGUUUUGCUGUCACUUAUAGAUGGAUCCGCGCCGCAUUAGCUAGUUGGUAAGGUAACGGCUUAUCAAGGCAACGAUGCGUAGCCGACCUGAGAGGGUGAUCGGCCACACUGGAACUGAGACACGGUCCAGACUCCUACGGGAGGCAGCAGUAGGGAAUCUUCCGCAAUGGGCGAAAGCCUGACGGAGCAACGCCGCGUGAGUGAUGAAGGUCUUCGGAUCGUAAAACUCUGUUAUUAGGGAAGAACAAAUGUGUAAGUAACUAUGCACGUCUUGACGGUACCUAAUCAGAAAGCCGCGGCUAACUACGUG
Molecule: ribosomal RNA, 497 nt
Filed under: uncultured bacterium
Lineage: Bacteria
Description: partial 16S ribosomal RNA
Rfam family: Bacterial small subunit ribosomal RNA
Source: RNAcentral